Molecule: long non-coding RNA, 3950 nt
Filed under: Musa acuminata (dwarf banana)
Lineage: Eukaryota; Viridiplantae; Streptophyta; Magnoliopsida; Zingiberales; Musaceae
Description: long non-coding RNA (MACU_LNC004334)
Source: RNAcentral
CCCAAUCUGCUUAUUAUUUUAUAGACAUAUUUUUAAUAAAAAAUAUCUCAAUAAUAAUAAAAUUGGUAUUCCGGGACGACGGUUAGAAUCCCUAAUCCAUCCCUGCCGUGGGAUGAGGCGCAGCGGCCAAAGAGGGAGAGGAGGCAGACGACCGUCCCCCGGGGCUGGAGGGUUUUGUUGACAGCCCAGUAGCCCCGGGUUCCGUCUCCGUCGUCGCCGAUCGUGUCCCGUAGACAAGUUCCGACGUCAACCCUAAGCGAGGGAAGCAAAUGGGUCGGUGGUCUCUCUAUGCUCUUAUUCUGAUGAUGAGCAGACGAACAUUCAGUUAAGACUUCCAUGUGGAUUUCGUCCGAUUGCUUUUUCCUGUCAUAGAUUCGCAUAGAACUUGCAUUCUUGCUGACCCUCGCACAACAAAUGAAUCUUUUAUGUUGCUUUCCUCUCAGAAAGAUCUUGCAAUCCUGCCAUUUCUAGGACGAUCUUAGUUACACAAGCAAAAAUCUUAGUAUGCGCUCAUCGAUCCUUUGUUCUCCAAUGUCAAAUAUUGCAACUUGAUCAUGCAACCAAGCAGCAUUUUCCUCAAUUGUGGAAGAUGAGAUAUCCGAUGCAGUGAAGGAAACCUGCUAAUGCCAGUGAGAUUACUGUAACAUUCCUGGGCAGCUUCCCCUCGUCGCUUCUCAGAAACAUGGCCUCGUAGAUAGGCCAGCAGUUGGCGGUGACAAAUGCUGAUAAGAACAGUUGCACAAAGAGUUCAUCAAACCCCCCCUCCAUCGUUGCAGCUCUUGCAAUCCCUAACACCAAAGAGCUCAAGUUUACAGUGGCCACUGCUCCAAGCACUACGAAGAAAGGCGACUCUACUCCGAAAUCGAAGGUCCCUUUCUCGUACCGCUUGCUCUGUUCGUCCUCCAUGACUUUGCUGGUCACAUUGAACCCUUGAGCAGAUAUGCCAAAUUUCUUGAGUACAAAUUGGACUGUUCCAAAUAGAUAAGAUGUGAGGCCUAUGAUCAUCCACAUCCUCUGGUCACUCCACCACCUCCCCAUUGUUCCAUCAGCUGCAAGAAACUCAAGAAGGUCUUGGCCAUAGGUAGUGAAAAAGAGGUAGGCAUACAAGUAGAACCAUGGGUCUGAGACCUGAAACAGACAGGCAUCUCAGCAGAAGCCUCUGGGAAUGCAAACAAAAUAGAGAGGAUGGUAGAAGCCAUAUACAUAUACCUUUGGGAACAAGGGGAUGCCGUAGAUGAGAGCUAGUUGUGGAAGAAAACCAUAUAUUGUUAUCGGAAUGCACCAACUACCCCAAAAGGCUUCAUGUGCAUAGCAUAAACCCACUAGCAGUGAAGCCUUUACGGUGCCAAAGGUCAGGGGGCAACACUUUGAGAAGGCCACCUCGAACAGCCCAACGCACCAUCUCUUGCGUUGGCUAAGGACAUCAUUUAGAUUCUUUGGCACAUCGCCAAGGAAUGCUGGCCUCGCAGGGUAGCAGAAGACAGAUUUCCAUCCUUCACACUGAAGAUGAUAACCUGUGUGGUAGUCCUCUGAAAGUGAUCCAUAACGGAAGCCAAUCUGCAGGUUUGGAGAAUCUAAACAUUCAGGAUGAUCUGUGUAUUAGACCUCAUUAGCAAGGAAAGUGCAUUUCAAUCAUUGUAAGAAUGCAAACAUUUUCUCUAUAAUUACCGAUGAGCCCCACUUUGUGCCAGGUUCAUAAGUGCAACUAGCCACUUCAUGAGCUUUUCUCAGUACAGACUCUGAAGACAAUGGAUCAUUGGCCCCUGGAGCCAGAGAUGUUGAUGAUGGUGUGCCUUGCAAAGACCGUCGUGAGAAGUAGCAUGCGGUGCCAACAUAAUUAGGCCCUCCAAGACCAUCUUUUCCCCUUGGAUUAAUGGUAUAAAGGCGCUUUACCUCACACGCAUAGAUAUCAUUCUUGUUAAGGCCUUGGAAGAUCUGGGGGAACUGUACAAAGGCAAGAUCAGGUGACAAGGCAGGGUCAAGAAAGUAGCAGAGUGCACGGAGAGGAGACCGAGGAUCAUUAGAGUAUGUGUCACAGUCCAAUGUGAGGAUCAUCGGGCCAUUGCUCAUGGUGCUCGAUACACGUGUCUUCAAUGUAGAAUCAAAAUGGAAAAGGUUAGCAUGAAGUUUUGAUCGAGGAGAGGAUGCACUAAACUUUAGAAUAUUUUUGGAUGCGUGGCGAUGAACAUACCAAAACAUUGAGGGCUCCAGCCUUGAAGUGAUGAGGGGAUGUUGGACGUUUCUCCCUGGAGACAUAGAUAACGUUUGGCAAUGCAUUGCCCAUAAUAUCUGUAUCCUUGCUGGUGUCGAGUAAAACCUGUUCAAAACCGAAGAAACCUUCUUAGUUGAGCAUGCGACAAGAGAUUGGAGUUCUUGAACAGUUUUUAUUAUCGAAAGCUUAAUGAUCAGGAUUUGCUAGCACAUAUACUACUUUGUAGACUUUGAUGAGGCUUUUACAAUAGAUAUGCAGAUUUCAUCAACAGUUUUGGCAGAAUGUUUAUUGUAAUUGUGAACUGAGAUCGAUGAGGUUCUUGAUUGCUUAAAACUUAUGAUGGAUUAGUUUAAGCCAAUUGUUCUAAAAAUCCUCAACAUUGGUGUCUGUCAUGGAACCAGAUUUUCCUAGCUAUUCUAACCAAACAGCAGCUGAUAUCUAUAUACAUUUUUUUUCGUCAGCAUUUGGAAGAAGACCUGGAUCAUGGAUGGGUGGUCAUGGCUGGGAAGCCCUUUCCAUCUCUUGAAUACUUCAGCUUCUUCUUGGGAGGAGACCAGAUCAUUGCCCACAUAACCUCUCUCCAGAGCAGUCUCCACUUUCUCCUUCAUAGUUUGGUACAUCAUCUGCAGCUUUGAGGAACAAAACUUCACAAGUGAGAUGUUUGAACAUUUCAAGAAUGCCUAUCAGGUAAGUCAACUCCUCCUACUGAAUUCAUAACAAGCUUUCUUUUUCUCUCAAAAGUUACAUCAGGUAGCUCCUUUCUUUAUGAAAUGCUAUUGUUGCAAUGGCUUAAAACCAAACAACUAGUUGUGCAAGAACAAAAUCUACCUUUUGCAACAAAUGAUUGUGUCAGAUAUUCAACUUAAUAUUUAGCAGCUGAAUUAUAGUCAGUUUCUUUCUUUAAGAACUAAGAGCUCUCCAGUCUCAAAAGAAAGAAAAGGAAUAAAAUGAAACCAAAUCUUACUAAAAUACCUUCGUCAAGAAUUUACUUUUUAUUAAACUAUUCAAGUCAAAAGCAAAAGCACUGGGCUUGUAAAAUAUUCUCAUGUUGCCUCUAUCUAGGAUUUGGUUUUUAUUACUUUCUGUAAUAUAUUCUUGUAAUAUAUCCUCAUGUUGGUCUAGGAAUUUCUUUUUAUUAUUACUGUCCCUUUCUCCACCUCACUUGGAUAAGUAUCAUUUAUUUGCACAGGACAAAUUAGAAUAAAUAGAUCUAAUCCUGACGUCAAUACCAUCAGCCUCUCUUUCUAUCCAUCAGAUUUAUGAAUGAGAAAGGAUCAAACCAAAAACUAAAGUCCUCAUAGAUCCAAACUAUUUAGAAACCUUGUUCCUUUUGGACUCCAUUCACACACCAUGUCUGUCCUUUCUCCUGCAAUCCAAAGCAACACUGUGUUGUUGUUGUGUUGUGUAUUAUUAGUGGACCUGACAGGAUAAUAUUAAUUCAAAAAAAGGGAAAAAAUUGACCAAUCAGGAGUCUUUAUUAUUAUUAAUUUUAAAAUGUAGAUGCUGAGCUGCGUGCAAUUGGGUGCAAGAUAGUGAUAGAAUAUACCUUCAUCUUCUCCGAGUCUCCGCCAUUGCUGGAUCUGAAGUAAGCCUCCGGCGACCUCACGACGAUCCCAUUCUCCUUGCAGAAGGGCAACCAGUACCUGGCGAACCUCGAGGCUUCCAUGAAGGCGAAGAGCGUGAUCUCCGAGCCGCCAUCGUCCGACACAUAGAUCGAGAUCCGGUCGGUUGGGUAGUC